Molecule: ribosomal RNA, 497 nt
Filed under: uncultured bacterium
Lineage: Bacteria
Description: partial 16S ribosomal RNA
Rfam family: Bacterial small subunit ribosomal RNA
Source: RNAcentral
GACGAACGCUGGCGGCGUGCCUAAUACAUGCAAGUUGAGCGCUGAAGGUUGGUACUUGUACCAACUGGAUGAGCAGCGAACGGGUGAGUAACGCGUGGGGAAUCUGCCUUUGAGCGGGGGACAACAUUUGGAAACGAAUGCUAAUACCGCAUAAAAACUUUAAACACAAGUUUUAAGUUUGAAAGAUGCAAUUGCAUCACUCAAAGAUGAUCCCGCGUUGUAUUAGCUAGUUGGUGAGGUAAAGGCUCACCAAGGCGAUGAUACAUAGCCGACCUGAGAGGGUGAUCGGCCACAUUGAGACUGAGACACGGCCCAAACGCCUACGGGAGGCAGCAGUAGGGAAUCUUCGGCAAUGGACGAAAGUCUGACCGAGCAACGCCGCGUGAGUGAAGAAGGUUUUCGGAUCGUAAAACUCUGUUGGUAGAGAAGAACGUUGGUGAGAGUGGAAAGCUCAUCAAGUGACGGUAACUACCCAGAAAGGGACGGCUAACUACGUG